CAGAACUGUGAUGAUAAAUAUGGCGAGCAGCCUUCGUUUCCUUCUGCUGAAGCCUCAUUAUAGUUCAGAGAAAACUGACCCCGUUUGUGAAACAGGUUAAUUAGACAGCGAGCGAGUUUUUAAUUAAAGGUCAAGAGCUUCUCAAAGUUCACUGUAAGUCCUCAGCUCUACAGAUACAAGACGUUUAUGAAGAGUCCUCUACAGUGAGAGAAACUUAUGAACAGAUGACCAUAACUAACCUUCAUAAAGUCUCUCUGAGCCCUUAUGUCUGUUUCUCUCUCUCUCUCCACCAGGACUGAUCAUCAAACAGCAGAGCAGCAUAAGAGCCAAAGCAUCUAAACUGCACUGGAUUUGAUGUUUAUUAUCUUCAUACUGUCUGUUCUAAGGUGACUGUCUUUGAGUACUGUAAUAAAG
Molecule: non-coding RNA, 414 nt
Organism: Xyrichtys novacula (pearly razorfish)
Lineage: Eukaryota; Metazoa; Chordata; Actinopteri; Labriformes; Labridae
Source: the annotation of a GenBank genome assembly